AGAGUUUGAUCCUGGCUCAGGACGAACGCUGGCGGCGUGCUUAACACAUGCAAGUCGAGCGGAAAGGCCCUUCGGGGUACUCGAGCGGCGAACGGGUGAGUAACACGUGAGUAACCUGCCCUUGGCUCUGGGAUAAGCCCGGGAAACUGGGUCUAAUACCGGAUAUGACGCGCUACCGCAUGGUGGUGUGUGGAAAGUUU
RNAcentral lists this ribosomal RNA (200 nucleotides) under uncultured bacterium. Its description in RNAcentral is "partial 16S ribosomal RNA". It matches the Rfam family "Bacterial small subunit ribosomal RNA", at positions 8 to 210 of the family's 1533-position model. The record is from RNAcentral.